This is a non-coding RNA of Pelodiscus sinensis (Chinese soft-shelled turtle), 677 nucleotides long. The record is from RefSeq and is a predicted model, not a curated record. NCBI's taxonomy places the organism in Eukaryota, Metazoa, Chordata, Testudines, Trionychidae.
CUGGUCAUCCAUAAAGGUGGGCUGGGAGAAGUCAGUGGGGACCAGAGGCGGCAUGGGGAUUUUUUUCUAAUAUUCCUGAAGCAAUCGAGAAAAAUUCUGUGCUACAAAGAAGCCAGAAACACAAUACAUUUCACCUACAGCCUUUGGAAAUAGCAGAAGUUCAUCUCCCACCCCCACGACCCACAAGAUUGCUCCAUCAGCCUGAAUCAAAAAAAUCUCAAGGGGAGCACGUGAAAGGAAAUACAAGCUGGUCAAAUCCAAAGUGUAUGUAACAGCAUCAGGAGAAGAGGAAAAGCCUUGGAGUUACAGUGCAUGACCCAAGCACUCACUUUCUAGAAUUCAGGCGUCUGUCCUCUCAGAGGCUUUGUCUCCAUUAGCCUUUUCCCCCUAGGACUUCCCACCACUGCUUCUACAGCUCAACCUGUGGAUGCACUGGUGAGGAGCUGUAUUGUCAUUAAGAUAUUUGCAGCCUCCAGUGUUCGUACAGUAGAAUCUCAGAGUUAUGAACAGCUCGGGAAGGGUGGAUGUUCGUAACUCGGUAAUGUUUGUAACUGAACAAAAUGUGAUGACUGUUCUUUCAAAAGUUUAGAACUGAACAUUGACUUAACACAGUUCUGGGAGUUAACUUUGCAGAACAUAAGUACUGCUUUCCCUUUAUUAUUAUUAUUUUUAAAGAA